AACGCACGAGACCUGCGGACCUGCGGAGGGAUCAUUACCGAGUUAUCCAACUCCCAACCCCUGUGAAUCAUACCUUUAAUUGUUGCUUCGGCGGGACUUCGCGCCCGCCGGGGACCCAAACCUUCUGAAUUUUUUAAUAAGUAUCUUCUGAGUGGUUAAAAAAAAUGAAUCAAAACUUUUAACAACGGAUCUCU
This 194-nucleotide unclassified non-coding RNA is filed under the name soil metagenome. RNAcentral describes it as "partial contains 5.8S ribosomal RNA, internal transcribed spacer 2, and large subunit ribosomal RNA". The record is from RNAcentral.